This is a long non-coding RNA of Alnus glutinosa, 1348 nucleotides long. RefSeq lists it as uncharacterized. Lineage: Eukaryota; Viridiplantae; Streptophyta; Magnoliopsida; Fagales; Betulaceae. The transcript is spliced from 3 exons. The record is from RefSeq and is a predicted model, not a curated record.
CUUCUUUCCCUUUCUUUUCUUUUCCUCUCCUAUUUUCCUUCUUCUCUCGUUUCCCUCAUGCACGCCCGGCUUCCAGCCCUUCCCCUUUCAUCUUCUCACCUCGUCACACACCCACACACCGAGACACAGAGAGAUAGAGACCAUGAGAGAGAGAGAGAGAGACAGAGAGAGAGAUUGAGUGAGAGACUGAGACGAAGAGAGAGGUCCAACCGAGAGAGACCCAAUCCAUGAGAGUGAGAUGCUGUCCGACUACAAAAAAGAAGAAGGAGAAGAACCCAAAGAAGAGUUUCUGCCUUUGAGAACAAAAACUGUCCAGCCGCGCGCAUAUGGUUUUGAUCUCUCUCUCUCUCUCUCUCUCUCUCUCUCUCUCUCUCUCAUUUUGUUUCUCUCUAGCGCCACGAAAUUCCCUCCAGUAAGCCGCACAGUACCAUUGCCAUCCCACUGUGUACGCAACAAGCUCUUCCCAACUCGCCUCCAUCGAACCCCUGCAACAUCAUUAACUAGGUGAACAUCAGACAGGAAACCAUGAUAGAAACCGUUGUGAACUUUGUCAUCAACGAGCUGGUUCAGUUAAUCCUUCAUGAAUCAAAAUUGCUAUGGGGUGUCCACUAGCAAGUUGUAGACAUUAGAGAUGAACUGGAGAGCAUCCAAUUUUUUGUCAAAGAUACAGAUAAAGGAGGAGACCUCCAAGAUGGUGUCAAAACGUGGGUGAAACAAGUGAGAGAAGUAGCAUGUCAUAUAGAUGAUGUAAUAGAUGAAUACGUUCUUCAUGUGGCACAACAUCUUCACCAGCAAAGUUCUAUUGCUUUUCGACAACAAAUUGGCCGUUUAUUGAAAAAAAUAAAACCACAUCAUGACAUAGCUACCAAGAUUCAAGAUAUCAAAAUAUCAGUAUGUGAAAUCAAGGAACGAAGUGAAAGAUAUGGUUUAAGUUCCUCAGAUCAAGGAUCAAUUAGCAGAGCAACAAAUGUUACAUGGCAUGACCCUCGAGUGGGUUCAAGCAUAAUGUCUUGGAAUUCUUCUAACAUCGAUUGCAUUGUCUCGGGAAAUUCUUGUGAGAUGGAGCUCAGGGUUCCCUCCAUCACCAAUGCUAUGAUGUCUCGGGCAUCCUUAACUUCUUCUAUAAAUUAUGAUCGAGUGGAUAGGAGGACUGGCUUACCCUUGGAAUGAGCAGAAUUUUCGAGUUCUUGUAAGGGUCGAAAUGUUAUCUUCCGACCAUCCAAAAGAUAGUGUAGAUGUUAGCUCUUCCCUGCUGCUGGGCAUCCACGUCAAACUGCCAAGGUCUUUCUAGGAUUAAGUGGCAUGCGUCUAUCUCCAGUACAUCACACAAAAUAGAAUCCGAGUAAUG